This 1906-nucleotide long non-coding RNA is filed under the name Malus domestica (apple). RNAcentral describes it as "long non-coding RNA (MDOM_LNC016120)". The record is from RNAcentral. Lineage: Eukaryota; Viridiplantae; Streptophyta; Magnoliopsida; Rosales; Rosaceae.
UCAAAAAUUGAAAACCAACAAAGUUUCAGUCAAAGAUUGUUCAUAACUAGGGACCGCAUCCAAAGUCUCCCUUAUAAAAGUUGUUCCUGACAUGAUUAGCUAGUUUACCUCGUAUAUGUAGUUUAAUUCGUAUAUGUCACUCUUAAGACUUGUUUAAGAAAUAAUUUAAAUAAACAAAGAAGUGCAGAAGAAAAAAAAAUAAUGUGCAAUUUUUUUUUUUUGUCAAUAAUUAACUAAUUCAAUUUAGUACUGUAGAUCUAACUAAGUAUAUAUGUACAAUGUUUAAAUAAGCAAAGUUUCUUCGUUGAGUAAGAAAUGAGAAAUUUAUGAAAAGUUACAAUCCCAACACGUAAUAGUGCAUCUACACAACUUCAUCAACUGACAUUUUUCAAUCGAAAGACAAAGACGUUUUUCGACCGAAAGACCAAGAUGUUGUUUUUCGACCAGGAGACCAAGAUGAUGUUUUCGACUGGAAGACCAAGAGCUAACCAUUGAACAUAAUACACAUGCAAAAACCAUGUUUCAACUUUUGAGUUUGGCAGUUGCAAGGAAAAAGUAGGAACACGCAACAAGUACAUAAAUACAUAUUCCAAUGCUGGUAGCAUUAUCUUUACUUAACUGACAACAAUGUGUAGUUUAAUUAGUUUAUAAACGACCACUAAUUUGUUUGUAGUGGUCAUUGUUAAUCACAAACUAUCACAUUAAUUAUAUAUAAUCACAUACCUCCUCUUUCACAUGUUUCUUUUGUAUAUAAUCCAACCAAGAAAACAACAACUUGUAAAUAAUUCAACUGUAUAGAAACAGAUCAAAGAUACAAAAUCUUCUUUUAUACGAUUACAUAUUUUAUUUUAAAGAGACAAGAAUUAAAUUAAUUUUUAAAAUGAGGAAACGAAGAAGAAGCAAGUGAAGGAAGGGGAAUGAAAUCCAAACUCUUUUUUUUUUCUGUACAAUUAUGUUUAUGUUUCUCGAAGCUUGAUUGAAUUAUUCAAUCCAAUAACUAAAAAUGAAAACAAGUUAAAAGGAGUUGAUAUCUAGAGAGCCAAUUUUGAUAACUUAUUUUGGUGGUCAAAUUUUGUUACCAUUUAAUAUGCCAACAAUUCACGUGGAAAAUGGCAAACCCUAGCUCGUGCAUUUUAUUGGGGAAAUUUGUACAAAGACUAUCUGGAGUUUUGCUGUAUACGCAUGUACCUCCUAUUUUUUGUUUUUUGUUUUUAAAUAAAUGAUAUUAUCUACAUUAAGGGGUGAGCUAGCUUCAAUGGGUUCCAGUAAUGUGGUUCAAAUUCGCAUUUGACGAGAAUCAAACCUAAAAUCUCCCACUUAUAAAGAUGAUAUUGCAAAGUAUCACCUACCGUUAAAAAAUUUGUUAGUUAAUAUGUACAACAUAAGACUUAAAUUUUUCUGCUGAUGUGAUGCCACGUGGUCAAUAAGUACUUAGUAAUUAAAAUAUUAUAAAUUAAUAUAAUAAUAAAAAACCCAUUAUAUAUUUCUUAUUAUCUUGAUAUGAAACCAACAAUUUUUGGUGAAACCACCUCUAAAUUUAAAAGAAAACUAAUGAAAAGGGUUUGAAAACUUUGAGUUUUAACAAGAUAAAGGAUAAAGUGAAUAGAACCAGGUUUGACUUUUUAGUGUAAAAUUAUGAUUUUUCGUUAAAAUGAACAGUACUGCGAGCUUUUCGUUAAAACAUCAUAAAUUUAACUUAGUCGCAUUUGAUCGACUACUUUUGAAUCUCCAAGCCAUACUCCACAAAUCUGGAUCGAGUGAGAGAGUGAAGGAGGGGGGAAGAGGGGGGAUGAUGUGGUUGAGUUGAAGCGUGUGCGGUGGGAAGCUGGUGAAGGGAGACUAGGAGGGGUAGCUGCAGAAGCUGCUACCACUAUUAGGGUUCCUUCUUUUUUUUCAAAAUUAAGAA